AGCUUCAACUUAUAGUCAACACCCCAAUAGUAGCAUACACUAUUCACUUCAGGCAGCUUGAAAUCUGAUAUCUUUCGCCGGAGCCCUCUGAAUAUCCGUUUGAGCUCAAAUUUGACAGUCAUGUUCGGUUUUGCUUAACUUAACGAAAGAAAUUUUAAUCUUUCAGUUUCGACUCCGUUUGGUCACCGAAAGCUUUACCGAACUGUAAUCUUUAUCAGAUAACUGUCAGAUUUUAUUUUCCACCUUCCGGGUGUCAGAAUGGGCUAAAACUUUAAAUCCAGCCUCAUAAUAAUAAUUCUAACAUAUCCUCCAGUUUUCAUAAUUUUCUGACACUAUGUAUUUUUUUCUAAUUUAUCUGCCUUGUUUCUCAUAGAAAAUUCUAAAUUUUCUGUUUUCACUUUGAUUUCAGCACAGGUCAUUCCCAACCUAUAUUUCACUUCUCUAAAUUUAUUAAAAAUAGUAUCUCAUACUAUUUUUAUUUAUUUUCACUUUUACAUUUAAAAUCCGGUAUGAUACAUUCCACCGCAACCUCACCGGAACCAUUUAAAUGUACACUGUAACUUCGUAGUUUUAGAAGUCCGGUA
This 584-nucleotide long non-coding RNA is filed under the name Ananas comosus (pineapple). RNAcentral's name for it is "long non-coding RNA (ACOM_LNC037012)". Lineage: Eukaryota; Viridiplantae; Streptophyta; Magnoliopsida; Poales; Bromeliaceae. The record is from RNAcentral.